GACAGUCUGGCCGAGUGGUCUAAGGCGCCAGAUUUAGGCUCUGGUCCGAAAGGCGUCGGUUCAAAUCCCACAGCUGUCA
Molecule: transfer RNA, 79 nt
Filed under: Olea europaea subsp. europaea
Lineage: Eukaryota; Viridiplantae; Streptophyta; Magnoliopsida; Lamiales; Oleaceae
Rfam family: tRNA
About the family: Transfer RNA (tRNA) molecules are approximately 80 nucleotides in length. Their secondary structure includes four short double-helical elements and three loops (D, anti-codon, and T loops).
Source: Rfam by way of RNAcentral